AACUAACUGUUUCCUCAGCCGCGUCCAGCCUCGCAGCACUGCUCUUCUGCUUGCUACUCCAGCGAAGGGACAUGCCUGCUGGCCAGGACGCUUAGUGGGCCUCGUAACCUGGCGAGUGUGUGCCCGCGCGUGUCCACCCUGCCCCCGGCCGGUGCGCCCCGCGCGCCCAAACCCGGCCGGCGACCACUGCGCGCCGGGCGCUUCCAAACUGCUCCUGUCCAGAGGCAUCCCUCUUUCGGCUUUCUCCAUCCCGCGUCCGCUUCCGCACCCGAGAGCGACAAGCAAAAAAGAUUCAGUGCAACUCAAGGACUGGUUUGUUAUACUCAAAAUGUACCAGGAACAGGAACAAAAGUAUUUUAUAAAAUAAUUAAUUUUUAUGGGCUAUGAGUCCCAAAUGGUUAUGUAAUCAAAGUGGAAGCAGAAAAGCAUGGCUUAGAAAAUAAUUGGUCAUGUCAUGUCACGCUUAACACAUGUGCAGACUCUGCCCUCCAGGUUGCAGUGCGAUGGUGUGAUCAAUGCUCAUAGUAGCUUCAAACUCCCAGGAUCAAGUGAUCCUCCUAAAUAAACCUCCUGAGUAGCUGGGACUACAGCUUCCACCAUGGGAUGAUACAGCAUGAAGGCCCUCACCAGAUAUGCACCCCUUGAUUUUGGACUUCCCAGACUCCAGAACUAUCUCUGUGGUUACUCUGUGAAUUGGUCUGUACAGGCCCACUUGAGUACAGAUGAGCCAUUUCAGCUAAGCCUACAAGACACUUCCAGCUAAACCUAGCCCAAAUUGCCAACUUGCAGAAUUGUAAGCUAAAUAAAUGACUGUAAGCCGUUAA
Molecule: long non-coding RNA, 824 nt
Organism: Homo sapiens (human)
Lineage: Eukaryota; Metazoa; Chordata; Mammalia; Primates; Hominidae
Gene: RORB-AS1
Product: RORB antisense RNA 1
Exons: 5
Source: RefSeq, marked validated